GGUGCGGCGCGACUAGGAUAUGUAUUUUAAUUGAAUUACUCAAGUUAGCAUUCAAGUUGAAGUUCAAGUUCAAGUUCAAGUUCAAAAUUCAGGUUUUAAAGGCCGGGGGCGCGUGGAAGGUCGAAUGGCGAGUCAAAUGUUUUGUAUUUAUCUUUCUUUAAAGAUGUUAUUUUGAGUAAAAUACUUUAAAUAAAAAUUUAUUUCACUAUU
Long non-coding RNA from Salvia miltiorrhiza (redroot sage), 210 nucleotides. RefSeq lists it as uncharacterized. Lineage: Eukaryota; Viridiplantae; Streptophyta; Magnoliopsida; Lamiales; Lamiaceae. The record is from RefSeq and is a predicted model, not a curated record. The transcript is spliced from 2 exons.